This 505-nucleotide ribosomal RNA is filed under the name uncultured bacterium. Its description in RNAcentral is "bacterial SSU rRNA". It matches the Rfam family "Bacterial small subunit ribosomal RNA", at positions 791 to 1300 of the family's 1533-position model. The record is from RNAcentral.
UAGUCCACGCCGUAAACGAUGAUUACUCGUUGCUAGCGAUACACUGUUAGUGACCAAGCGAAAGUGUUAAGUAAUCCACCUGGGGAGUACGAUCGCAAGAUUGAAACUCAAAGGAAUUGACGGGGGCCCGCACAAGCAGUGGAGCAUGUGGUUUAAUUCGAUGAUACGCGAGGAACCUUACCAGGGCUUAAAUGUGCUAUGACCUCUCGGGAAACCGAGAUUCUCUUCGGAGCAAAGUACAAGGCGCUGCAUGGUUGUCGUCAGCUCGUGCCGUGAGGUGUCGGGUUAAGUCCCAUAACGAGCGUAACCCCUAUCUUUAGUUGCCAGCGAGUAAUGUCGGGGACUCUAAAGAAACUGCCCGCGCAAGCGAGGAGGAAGGUGGGGAUGACGUCAAAUCAUCACGGCCCUUACGUCCUGGGCCACACACGUGCUACAAUGGUGCAUACAGAGGGCAGCAACCUGGUGACAGGAAGCGAAUCUCUAAAGUGCAUCUCAGUUCGGAUUG